Molecule: long non-coding RNA, 977 nt
Organism: Drosophila sulfurigaster albostrigata
Lineage: Eukaryota; Metazoa; Arthropoda; Insecta; Diptera; Drosophilidae
Exons: 5
Source: RefSeq, a predicted model, not a curated record
GUGAAAGUGAAGUGUUAAAUUUUGUUAAAAAUUUAUUAUUUUGUACUCGCUUAAUGCAAAUACAAAGUUAAUUAUUGUGUGUGCAACUAAAGUGUUAUGUGAUGAACUUUGCAUCAAUUGAAUUAGUCGCAGCGUAAUUAAUAACAGCGUGCUUGCAUUUGCUUUACCAAAAAAUAUUUGAAACAAAUAUGAAUUUGUGGCAAGUUGCUGCUGACUUUAAUGCAACGCAAAGCAAAGCAAACUAAUCGAUUGAUGCAAAGUUCAAGGAUUCUAGCAACAGUUGGCAUUUAAGGAAAAGAAGCGAGUGAAUUUUCGUGCAUUUGUUUUAUUGAAUGCGACCUCCUACAUUUACGAUAUUUUGCACAUUACCAACACUGCAGAACUAUAUAUAUAUGUAUAUAAGCAUGUAUAUCGAUUUGAAGCAAAAGUUUUGAAACAGUUAUUGGCAUCAUCAAUUGAAGUCGUACAAAUGGCGCUGCUCCCAGUGUUGCACAGGACUCAGUCGCAGUCUUCGUCUCCAUCUCCAUCUGCAGGACUCGCAUCCUUUUGAGCAACAGAAGGAGGUUGUGCUGUCGCUGCUGCUGCAGUUCGAAGAGUGGCAAAUGUAACGGCGCAAAAGCUUUCUCGAGUGCAUAAAUCUGUCGCUAGAAUUUCCUUUUCCAAGUCAUUUUAUGAUUAUGUGAGAGAUUUUUCCGGCACAACUUGCAAGCCAUCUGCGAGCGUGUGGGUGUGCCAAGUGUACGUGUGUGUGUGAGUGUGUGUGUGUGAGUGACUGUAUAAUGCAACUGUAAAUUCGAUGUGCUCAAGUCGUUUCAGCAUUGCAUUUGAAGCCACUUUGAUGCUUCUUUUGACUUGAAUGUUCCAAUAAUUAUUAAAAUCGAUUUUAAUGUUUAUUUUCUCUCUGUGAAUUGCGAUUAUUGCAAAGUGCAACAGCAACAAUCCGCUGUUAUUGCUAUUGGCAUAUAAAUAUAUUUAAU